GACGAACGCUGGCGGCGUGCCUAAUACAUGCAAGUAGAACGCUGAAGGAGGAGCUUGCUUCUCUGGAUGAGUUGCGAACGGGUGAGUAACGCGUAGGUAACCUGCCUGGUAGCGGGGGAUAACUAUUGGAAACGAUAGCUAAUACCGCAUAAGAGUAGAUGUUGCAUGACAUUUGCUUAAAAGGUGCAAUUGCAUCACUACCAGAUGGACCUGCGUUGUAUUAGCUAGUUGGUGGGGUAACGGCUUACCAAGGCGACGAUACAUAGCCGACCGGAGAGGGUGAUCAGCCACACUGGGACUGAGACACGGCCCAGACUCCUACGGGAGGCAGCAGUAGGGAAUCGUCGGCAAUGGACGGAAGUCUGACCGAGCAACGCCGCGGGAGUGAAGAAGGUUGUCGGAUCGUAAAGCUCUGUUGUAAGAGAAGAACGAGUGUGAGAGUGGAAAGUUCACACUGUGACGGUAUCUGACCAGAAAGGGACGGCUAACUACGUG
This 495-nucleotide ribosomal RNA is filed under the name uncultured bacterium. RNAcentral's name for it is "partial 16S ribosomal RNA". It matches the Rfam family "Bacterial small subunit ribosomal RNA", at positions 28 to 507 of the family's 1533-position model. The record is from RNAcentral.